UACAGAGGGUGCAAGCGUUAAUCGGAAUUACUGGGCGUAAAGCGCGUGUAGGUGGCGAUGUAAGUCGGGUGUGAAAUCCCUCAGCUUAACUGAGGAAGUGCACUCGAUACUGUGUCGCUUGAGUGUUGGAGGGGAUGGCGGAAUUCCUGGUGUAGAGGUGAAAUUCGUAGAUAUCGGGAGGAACACCUGUGGCGAAGGCGGCCAUCUGGACAACUACUGACACUGAGACGCGAAAGCGUGGGUAGCAAACAGG
RNAcentral lists this ribosomal RNA (253 nucleotides) under uncultured bacterium. RNAcentral's name for it is "partial 16S ribosomal RNA". It matches the Rfam family "Bacterial small subunit ribosomal RNA", at positions 524 to 776 of the family's 1533-position model. The record is from RNAcentral.